CCUACGGGAGGCUGCAGUGGGGAAUAUUGGACAAUGGGGGGAACCCUGAUCCAGCCAUGCCGCGUGUGUGAAGAAGGCCCUCGGGUUGUAAAGCACUUUCAGUGAGGAAGAACGCCUGGUGGUUAAUACCCAUCAGGAAAGACAUCACUCACAGAAGAAGCACCGGCUAACUCCGUGCCAGCAGCCGCGGUAAUACGGAGGGUGCGAGCGUUAAUCGGAAUUACUGGGCGUAAAGCGCGCGUAGGUGGCUUGAUAAGCCGGUUGUGAAAGCCCCGGGCUCAACCUGGGAACGGCAUCCGGAACUGUCAAGCUAGAGUGCAGGCGAGGAAGGUAGAAUUCCCGGUGUAGCGGUGAAAUGCGUAGAGAUCGGGAGGAAUACCAGUGGCGAAGGCGGCCUUCUGGACUGACACUGACACUGAGGUGCGAAAGCGUGGGUAGCAAACAGGAUUAGAUACCCUUGUAGUC
Molecule: ribosomal RNA, 465 nt
Filed under: Vreelandella stevensii
Lineage: Bacteria; Pseudomonadati; Pseudomonadota; Gammaproteobacteria; Oceanospirillales; Halomonadaceae
Description: partial 16S ribosomal RNA
Rfam family: Bacterial small subunit ribosomal RNA
Source: RNAcentral